AAAAAGUCAAACCCUGCAUUUCCGUGUCCAACUUUAACUGUUCGUCUUAUAUAAUAUUUUUUUAUAAUUCAUAUUUUUAUUAUUGUUAGAUGAUAAAACAUGAUUAAUAUUUUAUGCGUGACUUGUCUUUUUAAUUUUUUUCAUAAUUUUUUAAAUAAGACAGACGGUCAAAUGUUGGACACAGAA
Molecule: non-coding RNA, 186 nt
Organism: Oryza glaberrima (African rice)
Lineage: Eukaryota; Viridiplantae; Streptophyta; Magnoliopsida; Poales; Poaceae
Source: Rfam